GACGAACCAUGCAAACGUUAUUCGGAUUCACUGGGCUUAAAGCGUGCGUAGGCGGUUUUGUUAGUCAGGCGUGAAAGCCCUCAGCCUAACUGAGGAAUUGCGCUUGAUACUGCAUGACUAGAGAAUGAUAGAGGUGGGUGGAACUGAUGGUGGAGCGGUGAAAUGCGUUGAUAUCAUCAGGAACACCAGUGGCGAAGGCGACCCACUGGGUCAUUUCUGACGCUGAGGUACGAAAGCUAGGGUAGCGAACGGG
This 253-nucleotide ribosomal RNA is filed under the name uncultured bacterium. RNAcentral describes it as "partial 16S ribosomal RNA". It matches the Rfam family "Bacterial small subunit ribosomal RNA", at positions 524 to 776 of the family's 1533-position model. The record is from RNAcentral.